UACGAAGGUGGCAAGCGUUACUCGGAAUUACUAGGCGUAAAGGGCAGGUAGGUGGUUUGGUUAGUCUGUUGUGAAAGCUCCUUGCUUAACGGGGAGAGGUCAACAGAUACUGCCAAGCUUGAGUAUGGGAGAGGGUACUGGAAUUCCUGGUGUAGCGGUGAAAUGCGCAGAUAUCAGGAGGAACACCGGUGGCGAAGGCGGAUCUCUGAGCCUUACCUGACGCUCAGGUGCGAAAGCUAGGGGAGCGAACAGG
This 253-nucleotide ribosomal RNA is filed under the name uncultured bacterium. Its description in RNAcentral is "partial 16S ribosomal RNA". It matches the Rfam family "Bacterial small subunit ribosomal RNA", at positions 524 to 776 of the family's 1533-position model. The record is from RNAcentral.